Neonectria ditissima is the source of this 83-nucleotide transfer RNA. It matches the Rfam family "tRNA". Rfam says of the family: Transfer RNA (tRNA) molecules are approximately 80 nucleotides in length. Their secondary structure includes four short double-helical elements and three loops (D, anti-codon, and T loops). The record is from Rfam. Lineage: Eukaryota; Fungi; Ascomycota; Sordariomycetes; Hypocreales; Nectriaceae.
GCCCGGUUAGCUCAAUCGGUAGAGCGUGAGACUCUUACGAGUACACAAUCUCAAGGUUGCGGGUUCGACCCCCGCAUCGGGCU